This 395-nucleotide unclassified non-coding RNA is filed under the name soil metagenome. RNAcentral describes it as "partial contains 5.8S ribosomal RNA, internal transcribed spacer 2, and large subunit ribosomal RNA". The stretch from base 1 to 121 matches the Rfam family "5.8S ribosomal RNA", at positions 35 to 154 of the family's 154-position model. The record is from RNAcentral.
GAUGAAGAACGUAGCGAACGUGCGAAACGUAAUGUGAAUUGCAGAAUUCAGUGAAUCAUCGAAUCUUUGAACGCAUCUUGCGCUCCUUGGUAUUCCGAGGAGCAUGCCUGUUUGAGUGUCGUGAAUACUCUCAACUUCAACCCCUUUUUCGGAAAGGGAGGAAGGUUGGACUUGGGUGUUUGUUGAAGUGCGAGCUUCGACUCAUCCUAAAUGCAUUAGCGAUCUGCCUCGAUCACACACAAUGUGAUAAUUAAAACUAAAGCAUUGUUUAAUGGUCAAGUCGAGACUGCUUCUAACUGUCGCAAGACAAUAACGUGCAUACAUUUGUGCAUGUCAUUUGACCUCAAAUCAGGUAGGACUACCCGCUGAACUUAAGCAUAUCAAUAAGCGGAGGA